This 506-nucleotide ribosomal RNA is filed under the name uncultured bacterium. RNAcentral's name for it is "partial 16S ribosomal RNA". It matches the Rfam family "Bacterial small subunit ribosomal RNA", at positions 29 to 523 of the family's 1533-position model. The record is from RNAcentral.
AGUGAACGCUGGCGGUAGGCCUAACACACGCAAGUCGAACGGCAGCACAGGAGAGCUUGCUCUCUGGGUGGCGAGUGGCGGACGGGUGAGGAAUACAUCGGAAUCUACCUUUUCGUGGGGGAUAACGUAGGGAAACUUACGCUAAUACCGCAUACGACCUACGGGUGAAAGUGGGGGACCGCAAGGCCUCACGCGAUUAGAUGAGCCGAUGUCCGAUUAGCUAGUUGGCGGGGUAAUGGCCCACCAAGGCGACGAUCGGUAGCUGGUCUGAGAGGAUGGUCAGCCACGAUGGAAGUGAGACACGGUGCAGACUCCUACGGGAGGCAGCAGUGGGGAAUAUUGGACAAUGGGCGCAAGCCUGAUCCAGCCAUACCGCGUGGGUGAAGAAGGCCUUCGGGUUGUAAAGCCCUUUUGUUGGGAAAGAAAUCCUAUCGGUUAAUAACCGAUGGGGAUGACGGUACCCAAAGAAUAAGCACCGGCUAACUUCGUGCCAGCCGCCGCUGUAA